RNAcentral lists this ribosomal RNA (993 nucleotides) under uncultured bacterium. Its description in RNAcentral is "bacterial SSU rRNA". It matches the Rfam family "Bacterial small subunit ribosomal RNA", at positions 505 to 1501 of the family's 1533-position model. The record is from RNAcentral.
GUGCCAGCCGCCGCGGUAAUACGUAGGGUGCGAGCGUUAAUCGGAAUUACUGGGCGUAAAGCGUGCGCAGGCGGCUUUUUAAGCCAGACGUGAAAUCCCCGGGCUUAACCUGGGAAUGGCGUUUGGAACUGGAAGGCUAGAGUGUGUCAGAGGGGGGUGGAAUUCCACGUGUAGCAGUGAAAUGCGUAGAGAUGUGGAGGAACACCGAUGGCGAAGGCAGCCCCCUGGGAUAACACUGACGCUCAUGUACGAAAGCGUGGGUAGCAAACAGGAUUAGAUACCCUGGUAGUCCACGCCCUAAACGAUGUCAACUGGUUGUUGGGGGAGUGAAAUCCCUUAGUAACGAAGCUAACGCGUGAAGUUGACCGCCUGGGGAGUACGGUCGCAAGAUUAAAACUCAAAAGAAUUGACGGGGACCCGCACAAGCGGUGGAUGAUGUGGAUUAAUUCGAUGCAACGCGAAAAACCUUACCUACCCUUGACAUGUCCGGAAUCCUGCAGAGAUGCGGGAGUGCUCGAAAGAGAACCGGAACACAGGUGCUGCAUGGCUGUCGUCAGCUCGUGUCGUGAGAUGUUGGGUUAAGUCCCGCAACGAGCGCAACCCUUAUCAUUAGUUGCUACGCAAGGGCACUCUAAUGAGACUGCCGGUGACAAACCGGAGGAAGGUGGGGAUGACGUCAAGUCCUCAUGGCCCUUAUGGGUAGGGCUUCACACGUCAUACAAUGGUCGGUACAGAGGGUUGCCAAGCCGCGAGGUGGAGCCAAUCCCAGAAAGCCGAUCGUAGUCCGGAUUGUUCUCUGCAACUCGAGAGCAUGAAGUCGGAAUCGCUAGUAAUCGCGGAUCAGCAUGUCGCGGUGAAUACGUUCCCGGGUCUUGUACACACCGCCCGUCACACCAUGGGAGUGGAAUCUGGCAGAAGUAGGUAGCCUAACCGCGAGGAGGGCGCUUACCACGCUGGGUUUCAUGACUGGGGUGAAGUCGUAACAAGGUAACC